Molecule: ribosomal RNA, 476 nt
Filed under: uncultured bacterium
Lineage: Bacteria
Description: bacterial SSU rRNA
Rfam family: Bacterial small subunit ribosomal RNA
Source: RNAcentral
UCGGGGACGCGGUGACAGGUGCUGCAUGGCUGUCGUCAGCUCGUGUCGUGAGAUGUUGGGUUAAGUCCCGCAACGAGCGCAACCCUCGUCCUUAGUUGCCAUCAUUCAGUUGGGCACUCUAAGGAAACCGCCGGUGAUAAGCCGGAGGAAGGUGGGGAUGACGUCAAGUCCUCAUGGCCCUUACACGCUGGGCUACACACGUGCUACAAUGGCGGUGACAGUGGGCAGCAAACUCGCGAGGGUGAGCUAAUCUCCAAAAGCCGUCUCAGUUCGGAUUGUUCUCUGCAACUCGAGAGCAUGAAGGCGGAAUCGCUAGUAAUCGCGGAUCAGCAUGCCGCGGUGAAUACGUUCCCAGGCCUUGUACACACCGCCCGUCACACCAUGGGAGUUGGUUUCACCCGAAGGCAGUGCGCUAACCGCAAGGGGGCAGCUGACCACGGUGGGAUCAGCGACUGGGGUGAAGUCGUAACAAGGUA